This 360-nucleotide ribosomal RNA is filed under the name uncultured Cyrtophoria. Its description in RNAcentral is "SSU rRNA". It matches the Rfam family "Eukaryotic small subunit ribosomal RNA", at positions 585 to 972 of the family's 1831-position model. The record is from RNAcentral. Lineage: Eukaryota; Ciliophora; Phyllopharyngea.
CCAACUCCAAGAGUGUAUCUUAAUGUUGCUGCAGUUAAAAAGCUCGUAGUUGAACCUCUGGCUAGUGAGGGUCCCCCGGGAUCGUUCGCUAGUCAUCCGCUCGGAGAAGCAGUAUUUCCUUAACCGGUUUUACUGUAGACCCAGCAUUUUACUUUGAAGAAAUUAGAGUGUUCCUGGCAGGCUUAGCUUGCAUAUAUUAGCAUGGAAUAAUGGAAUAGGACCUUGUCUGUUUUAUUGGUUGACAGAUAGGUAAUGAUUAACAGGGACAGUCGGGGGCAUUCGUACUCAGUGGCUAGAGGUGAAAUUCUUAGAUUCGCUGAAGACGAACUAAUGCGAAAGCAUUUGCCAAGGAUGUUUUCA